AUACGUAGGGGGCGAGCGUUGUCCGGAAUGAUUGGGCGUAAAGGGCGCGUAGGCGGCCUGUUAAGUCUGGAGUGAAAGUCCUGUUUUCAAGAUGGGAAUUGCUUUGGAUACUGAUGGGCUUGAGUGCAGGAGAGGUUAUCGGAAUUCCCGGUGUAGCGGUGAAAUGCGUAGAGAUCGGGAGGAACACCAGUGGCGAAGGCGGGUAACUGGACUGCAACUGACGCUGAGGCGCGAAAGUGUUGGGAGCAAACAGGAUUAGAUACCCUGGUAGUCCACACUGUAAACGAUGAAUGCUAGGUGUAAGAGGUAUCGACCCCUUUUGUGCCGGAGUUAACACAAUAAGCAUUCCGCCUGGGGAGUACGGCCGCAAGGUUGAAACUCAAAUGAAUUGACGGGG
RNAcentral lists this ribosomal RNA (397 nucleotides) under uncultured bacterium. RNAcentral describes it as "partial 16S ribosomal RNA". It matches the Rfam family "Bacterial small subunit ribosomal RNA", at positions 523 to 918 of the family's 1533-position model. The record is from RNAcentral.